GGGAUAUGAACUCUUCAUAAAUCAUAAUAAAGUUGGUGGGACAUUUAGGCUUUACAUUCAUAAUUUUCUUUCAAUUAUUGAUAUGUACGUACAAGCUAAUCAAAUUUUACCAAAUUAAAUAAAAUAGAAUUGACCUAGUAAUUGAUUAAUCAAACAAUUAGCUAUCUAUUCAGGCCUAUGUAGUGAAAAUAGGAGGAAGCACCUUGGAACUUCUACCUUUCACUGGAGUUUUUGUAUCAGGAAAGUUACCAUUUCCAUCAACAAGAUCCUCAACAAUACCUUCCAUUGUUACAUUCACAGGAUAAUUCACUAAGUGCACACCUUCCAUGUCUACAACUUCUUCGCCACUGUAAAUUUUCCACAUUGCUUCCCCUAAUGAAUAAGUUUUUUGUACACAUUCCAAACUUUGGGGCUCUAGGAAUAUUUCUUCAGCCAAGCUAGUAUGCUCAUACCACAGUGACAUUCUGUAUGCUUGAAUAUCACUAGGGCUAGUCUUGUUUCCAUCAUUUUCUGGUUGAUAGCAUCCUAUUGCAAUCUCAGUGUCACGUUGCCCAUCCAUUGAUCUUUGAUUCACGUUUGCAGAUCCUAUUAAUAUGUAUGCAUCGUCCACUGCGAAAUUCAUUAGAAACCAAAGAAUUAGUAAUAAUCUAUUAAUCAAGCGUCUAUAUUCUAAUGCUAGAAAUCAAGAAUUCAAAUUCUGACAAUCCUGAAAGUGGGGGAAAUAAAUAAGGAAAAUCGAGAUGGGGCAAUAUUGAUAUUAUACCUAUCAUGAGCUUGGAGUGAACAUAAACCAUGAACCUCCUAUGCUUUUGUGCAUUCCAGUAUUGUGUUGAGGGAUGGGGUGAGUAUGGAGGCACAAACUCUCCCUUCCUCUCCUCUUCUCUAUUAGCAAGGCAGAAGAAGUUCAAAAAAUCUCUGGGGUGCCCCAUCUGGUCGCUUUCUUGUAAUGCUUCUCCUAUUAGUCUAUACAUCAUUGCCAUAGUUUCUCUAGUCCAAUGCAAUAUAUCCUGAACUGGCUCACUCUCAGGAACCCCUUCAGGCCACAUGGGAAUUAAUACAUACACUGCAAAUCUUUCUUUUGCUUUGAUCUUGUGAACUAUCUUAAGUGCAAUUUCAAUUGGGAUCAAAUUGCUGCAUCCACAGUGCCUAUCUUUAUCCCACAAAUGACAUCCUCCAAUGAAGUAUUGGUUCUCAAUAUAUAUAAACCUCUCUGCACGCCUGAUUGCUUCUACAUAUGCUUCAUGGAUACUUCUCUCCACGGUUAAGUUUCUUGCCAUUUGGGUUGCUGAAACGUGGUCUAUCGAUCGAAAGACUUGAACUUUCCAAUUUCUGUCAUUGGAAACGCUUGAAGAAACAGUUAAUUGGUGUGUAAGAUUUGCUAUGGAGCUAGUGGGGAGUAACAAACAAGGGUCACAUUGUUUACUCCACCUUUGCUCAAAAUUGGUAAGUACAUCCCAAGCAGCCUCACCAGCAACGCAAGCAUGAGUAUCAUGCCACGGCUCUCUUGGCCCUCCCUUGUGCAAGCAAGCUCCAGCAAUAUUUGUCUGAUAGAAAUCACAACAAUGUGAUUCUUUAUUGAGUGUUUGAAACAAAGAAUGUUGUUCUGUGUCGAACCGGCCAUCACAAAGAUCUAAUCCUCCAACGAAGCUCAUGAUUUCUCUAUCAUUUAUUGAAUCAUUAUUUGCUCGAACAUCCACCGUUAUAGUCUUUUGAUGGUGAGCAAACAAAGUAGGGAACUUGUGGUGCAAUCUUGGACAUAAUCUGCAUACUACUUUGGUGUGUUUGAAAUACGCAAAAGCAUCCUCAUCAUGAGUUCCCAUCACACCUUUGUUCUUGAUAACUGGCAAGGAUGUUUCAUCAUUCCAAAUCAUUAUUCUCACUGCUACACCUUCCUCAGCUUUCCUUUUCAACAAUUCUCCAAGCUUUACUCCUCUUGCUUCUUGUAUUUCUGUUUCAGGAUCCCUAACCUGCAUAUGUUUAGUUUAUUAUAUUUUAUUAAAUAUGAAUUGUACACCUUUCAAGGGAUUUCGGGCGAAAAUUAAUAAGGAAAAUGAAGUAGUUGUUCAAAGUCUUCGCUUACUAGCACCAUUUUGGGAUUGAAAGACCACCCUGCAAUGUAAAUUAAAUGCUUUGCACCCUCAAUAGCUUUACAGACAUCCUCCAAUAAUUUUCUUGGAGACCCACAAAGAGCAAGAGGAGGUUGAAAGGAAGAGCAAUGGUGAGCAUCUUGAUAAAGUGUGACAUGGCAAUUGGAUCUUUGAGGAAAUGAAGCAUUUCUUAGUCCCUGGAAUUGAUCAUUUCUGAUUAUCCUUGUCCAAGUUGGCUCAAGUUCUGCUGGCUUAAACCAUAACAUGAACCUGAGCUUGAGUUCAGGAUUUGGCUUCCCAUUUUCCAUUAUGAGUGGGAAGAAGCCAUUAAUCAAAGUUGCUUGGGUGACAAUCUUGUGUGCUUGGAUUUGAAAUUUUCCCAAGAUGGAGCACUUUGUUUUCAGAGUAAUGGUGAUGGUUGAAUCCAAAUGGUGAGCACAAAGAAUUUGAAGGGUUUGGUUCCAAACUCGAUCUCGUUCAGGACUUGUCUUCGCCACCUUUCUCUGGUCUAUCUUGAUAGUCACAUAUGUGGGCUUUCCAUUUACAUAUAGACAAUUGAAGGGAAAUGGGG
This 2658-nucleotide unclassified non-coding RNA is filed under the name Hevea brasiliensis (rubber tree). The record is from RNAcentral. Lineage: Eukaryota; Viridiplantae; Streptophyta; Magnoliopsida; Malpighiales; Euphorbiaceae.